RNAcentral lists this long non-coding RNA (1748 nucleotides) under Mustela putorius furo (domestic ferret). RNAcentral's name for it is "lncRNA (ENSMPUG00000029567.1)". Lineage: Eukaryota; Metazoa; Chordata; Mammalia; Carnivora; Mustelidae. The record is from RNAcentral.
AGUUGGUUGAACAUCUGACUCUCGAUCUCGGCUCGGCUCUUGAUUGCACAGUCGUGAGUUCGAGCCCCACACUGGGCUCUGUGUUUGGUGUGGAGCCUACUUUAAAAAAAAAAAAUGGCCUUGGGCAAAUUGGAGUUCUCCUCUCUUAAUGGGGAUAAUAAUUCUGACAAUAAUGGGCCAUAAAAUAAUUGCUUUAUAAUAACCAAACCAUUCACUCAAUCAGAUUGUUAUUGAAUGACUUCUGUGUCCCGGGAGUCCACCACAAGCUCGAGUUGCAGCCUAAGCCUUCAGUUCCCUCCACUGUGGGAAUAAUAAUAGCGAUAAUAUUUAUGGCAUGGGUUGUUGAAAAGAUGUAAUCAAAUGAUCCAUGCAAAGGACUUAGUGUAGUGCUUAGCACAUAAUAAAUAACUAAUGUUAGCUCUUGUUAUUAUGACACACACAUAAAGCUUCGCAUAAUCAUAGCCACCAUCUGUUGUGCUCCCAGGGUCUCCUUGCUUCCUGUUCCUAGUAGCCAGUCCCCAGCACCGCUGGCCAGCGUCCAUGACGAUCUGGCGGUACUGGUCAGCAUUCUUCCUGUGGUUAAAGACACCAUCCAUUUUUUUAAGUUUAAGAAAGCAGAGGGGUCACUCCAGAUUCUAGAUGGGAUUGAGGAAGGCUGUGAUACAUACUAAAUUCCAGGGAGAAUUGCCCCACUAAAGAUCACAUGGAGGGUUCAGGAAAAAAAGAAUUCGGAUGAUAUCCUUGAUGUUUUAUUAAAAUACUACAAACACAGGGGCACCUGGGUGGUUAAAGCCUCUGCCUUCGGCUCAGGUCAUGAUCCCAGGGUCCUGGGAUCUAGCCCUGUAUGGGGCUCUCUGCUCAGCAGGGAGCCUGCUUCCUCCUCUCUCUGCCUGACUCUCUGCCUACCUGUGAUCUCUGUCUGUCAAAUAAAUAAAUAAAUAAUCUUUAAAAAAAAUAUUACAACCACAGUAUUCUGUACUGUCUGGUGUACUCUGGGAUUGUAUUACUGCAGGAUCAUUGUAUUUGUAGUGUAGUUUAGUAUGCUGUGUUACAAAUACAGGUUUUUUUAAACAACUUACUCUAUUUAACUUUAAAACUGGUUUUACAAGGUAGAAGUUUUAAAGUUGCUUAAUUGCUAUUCCAUAAAAAUUGUUGAACUUUAUUAUUAUUGACUAAUUUUAUUUACAGCUGGGUGGGACUCAGUUGGUUAAGUAUCCAAUCCUUGGUUUCAGGUCAGGUUAUGAGCUCAAGGUUGUGAGAUGGAGUCCCACGCUGGGUUCAGUGUGGAGUCAACUUGAGCUUCUCUCUCUCUUUCUCCCUCUGCCCCCCCCACCCCCCACCCCCGCUCACGCUCGCUCACUCAUGUGCACACUCUCUGUAAAGAAAUAAAUUCUUUAAAAAAAUUGUUAGACCUUUCAUCGUACUAGGUAAAAUAAUAUUCUCCUAAGGACCUUAUUGAGGCUGUAUUAUUUAUUCCUUCAGUAAAUAGUUAUUGAGAACUUACUUUGGGUUACAUUCUUGAAUUUGGGAAUUGAAAGUUUUUCUGUCUUCUCCAGGUUUAUUUCUGAGUUUCUGCCACGUUAGGUAUUUUCUGUAUUCUUGAAUCUAUUUCAGAAUAGAGGAUUUAGUUUCUCUUUUCUUGCAUGAGUCUUGCAGAGGCUUUAACAAACAGAAACGUGUUAAAACCCACUAUCAGGAAUGGAUGAGUGUUUGCUGAUACUCUUCAAUGAGAGACAGAAAAGGGCCGC